CCUCUUAAACAGCAACUACAACCUUCUUUUUGUUUAGUUUUCGAAAAGGUUAUUAGGACCCAAACAUAAUGCAUUUUGAGAUAACCAUCACCUCCUACGCCUCUCGACAUCCUACACCUCUCAACACCCUCGCAUCUCGACACCACCCUUUCACCCUCUCUGUUUCAAUAACAAUUCACCGGAGCUCGCUAGAGAUCGAAGUUCACGACGGAACUGUUUGGCCAUGUUUCGCUCACCGAGCACGUAGCCGGAAACACCUUCCUUGCACCUCGCCGCAGAUCGAAGCUCACCGGAGACGAAAACGACAUCGGAGGUUCGCAACGGAUUCACACAUCACGAAGUUCGUCCGCACCUGUUUCCAUUUGGUGAAGAUGAUAUAGUUGGUUCGGGUUCACGUCUUUUCCUCGCGGAUAAUCGUUCCCGUUCGUUCGGUUUCCCUAUUUUAUUCGUGCGUUAUUCUACAAGGAAUCGCAAACGCAACCACUCGUAAUGUCGAGACUCCACCAACUUUCCUCGCGAUUUAAGUGUACUUCCUACGCAAAAUUGUUGAUGAUGACGAUGCUAUGAAAAGAAGUAGCGUUGAUGCCUAGAUACACAUAUAGACGUUAGGUUUAAUAUGUCGUAUCGAUUUUGCUUAUGUUAUUAUGUUUUCUUUUGAACUUGUUGUUACUUGAGUUUAUGUAAUGUUGACAACUUGAAGUUAUGAAAUGAAAUGGGAAUUAUUUAA
Helianthus annuus (common sunflower) is the source of this 727-nucleotide long non-coding RNA. RefSeq lists it as uncharacterized. NCBI's taxonomy places the organism in Eukaryota, Viridiplantae, Streptophyta, Magnoliopsida, Asterales, Asteraceae. The transcript has 3 exons. The record is from RefSeq and is a predicted model, not a curated record.